UCCGGAGUAGCUCAAUGGUAGAGCAGCUCGCUGUUAACGAGACGGUUCCUGGUUCGAGUCCAGGCUCCGGAGCCA
RNAcentral lists this transfer RNA (75 nucleotides) under bacterium. RNAcentral's name for it is "tRNA-Asn". It matches the Rfam family "tRNA". Rfam says of the family: Transfer RNA (tRNA) molecules are approximately 80 nucleotides in length. Their secondary structure includes four short double-helical elements and three loops (D, anti-codon, and T loops). The record is from RNAcentral.